Molecule: transfer-messenger RNA, 373 nt
Filed under: Candidatus Terrybacteria bacterium RIFCSPHIGHO2_01_FULL_48_17
Lineage: Bacteria; Candidatus Terryibacteriota
Also listed under: 2 other names
Rfam family: transfer-messenger RNA
About the family: Bacterial tmRNA, also known as 10Sa RNA or SsrA, is named for its dual tRNA and mRNA-like properties. Its role is to liberate the mRNA from a stalled ribosome.
Source: RNAcentral
GGGGAUGCCGGGCCUUGAAAAGGAAUACAAAGGGUUGCUUGCGAGCCGAGGAUGGCUGCCUUCCUCGUUAAUCUUUGUAGCCAACCAAAUAAGUGCAAACUUAUUGACAAAGGGGUCUUUGCGCCCCUCAUACGCCUACGCCUAAUUGGCAUGUAGGCCAUCCUGCCCCGAUGCUCGAUAGGGGGUUUAGGGUGUUAUAAUCGAGCUAGCCAAGCACCUACCCAAUUGCUUGCGCGAAAUAUUUGAGCUGCGGCAAUUAUAGAUUCUGUCCGUCUCCUACCGUAAUUGCCAAAGAAACACAAGAUGGACUACGCUCGUACACAGGCCCCGGCGCAUUCUUUUGACGUGGGUUCAACUCCCACCAUCUCCACAU